UCCUGCUCAAUGAUAUUAAAUAGCCGCAGUACCCUGACUGUGCAAAGGUAGCAUAAUCAGUUGGCUCAUAAUUGGAGUCUGGAAUGAAUGGAUUUUUGGAAAAUAACUUUAUUUUACUUAUUUAUUUGAAAUUAGUUUAUAAGUGAAAAUACUUAUAUUUAUAUAAAGGACGAGAAGACCCUAGAAAUUUCUUUUCUUUUGUUGGGGCGACAGAAUUACAUGAAACUAAUUUAAUAUUACAUGACGUUAAUUACAGUUUGAUUAAAUUACUCUAGGGAUAACAGCAUAAUUUUAAUAGUUUGUGACCUCGAUGUUGGACUAGGAUAUUAAUGGUUUAGAAGACUUUUAAGAUUGCUCUGUUCGAGCAACUUUUCCUACGUGAUCUGAUUCAGACCGGA
Molecule: ribosomal RNA, 398 nt
Filed under: Theba subdentata
Lineage: Eukaryota; Metazoa; Mollusca; Gastropoda; Stylommatophora; Helicidae
Description: partial 16S ribosomal RNA
Rfam family: Archaeal large subunit ribosomal RNA
Source: RNAcentral